This is a long non-coding RNA of Leguminivora glycinivorella, 352 nucleotides long. RefSeq lists it as uncharacterized. The transcript is spliced from 3 exons. Lineage: Eukaryota; Metazoa; Arthropoda; Insecta; Lepidoptera; Tortricidae. The record is from RefSeq and is a predicted model, not a curated record.
CUCGGAUUUACGAGUAUUAAUUAGUGCUUGCUGUGGCGCUGCCUGCUGACCGAAGUUAAUUAUUUAAUAGACAACAAGAAAAGACAUGCCACCGAAAGUGGUGAAAAAUUACCUUGCAAAUUGAUGCCAGCAUUUCCAAGUGAGAACACAUCCAGUUACUACAUAUUCCUGCUAUGGGCAAAUUAGUGGAUAAAGCAUCUCCGGGAAUCAGAAGGAAGAGGAAGAUGGUGCUCUAUUAGGUUUGCUGUUAGAAGAUGAUGUCCUCUGGUUAAGUACACACAAGUGAUCCAUGGGAUAAAGUUGUGGAAAAUGGACAAAAACUCUACACUACAGAUUUGUUAUGAUAGCAACU